UAAGUGUGGAAACUUAUACGCUCCUUGC
RNAcentral lists this small RNA (28 nucleotides) under Bombyx mori (domestic silkworm). Its description in RNAcentral is "ovarian small RNA-19442". The record is from RNAcentral. Lineage: Eukaryota; Metazoa; Arthropoda; Insecta; Lepidoptera; Bombycidae.